GACGAACGCUGGCGGCGUGCUUAACACAUGCAAGUCGAACGGAAAGGCCCUGCUUUUGUUGGUUUCUCGAUUGGCGAACGGGUGAGUAACACGUGAGUAACCUGCCCUUGACUUUGUGAUAACUUCACGAAACUGGGGCUAAUACCGGAUAGGAUCUCCUGCUGCAUGGUGUGGGUUGGAAAGUUUCGGCGUUUGGGGCUGGUAUCGCGGCUUAUCAGCUUGUUUGUGGGGUAGUUGCUUACCAAGGCUUUGACGGAGAGGCGGCCUGAGAGGGUGGACGGCGACAUUGGGACUGAGAUAGGGACCAGAAGCCUACGGGAGGCAGAAGUGGGGAAUAUUGCAGAAUGGGGGGACGCCUGAUGUAGAAACGCCGGGUGCGGGAUGCCGGCUUUCGGGUUGUAAACAGCUGUCGCCUGUGACGAAGAGUGAGUGACGGUAAUGGGUAAAGAAGCACCGGCUAACUACGUG
RNAcentral lists this ribosomal RNA (468 nucleotides) under uncultured bacterium. RNAcentral describes it as "partial 16S ribosomal RNA". It matches the Rfam family "Bacterial small subunit ribosomal RNA", at positions 28 to 507 of the family's 1533-position model. The record is from RNAcentral.